This 253-nucleotide ribosomal RNA is filed under the name uncultured bacterium. RNAcentral's name for it is "partial 16S ribosomal RNA". It matches the Rfam family "Bacterial small subunit ribosomal RNA", at positions 524 to 776 of the family's 1533-position model. The record is from RNAcentral.
UACGUAGGGGGCAAGCGUUAUCCGGAUUUACUGGGUGUAAAGGGAGCGUAGACGGCGGUGCAAGCCAGAUGUGAAAGCCCGGGGCUCAACCCCGGGACUGCAUUUGGAACUGUGCUGCUAGAGUGUCGGAGAGGCAGGCGGAAUUCCUAGUGUAGCGGUGAAAUGCGUAGAUAUUAGGAGGAACACCAGUGGCGAAGGCGGCCUGCUGGACGAUGACUGACGUUGAGGCUCGAAAGCGUGGGGAGCAAAUAGG